Molecule: ribosomal RNA, 301 nt
Filed under: uncultured bacterium
Lineage: Bacteria
Description: partial 16S ribosomal RNA
Rfam family: Bacterial small subunit ribosomal RNA
Source: RNAcentral
CAGCAGCCGCGGUAAAACGAGGGGUGCAAGCGUUAUUCGGAUUGAUUGGGUGUAAAGGGUGUGCAGACGGCUUAUUAAGUCACUUGUUAAAUUCUUCGGCCUAACUGAAGGUCUGCAAGUGAUACUGAUGAGCUAGAGGGUGGAAGAGAGAAGUGGAAUUCUCGGAGUAGCGGUAAAAUGCGUAGAUCUCGAGAGGAACACCAAUGGCGAAGGCAGCUUCUUGGUCCAUUCCUGACGUUCAUACACGAAAGCGUGGGGAGCAAACAGGAUUAGAUACCCCCGUAGUCCCUGUCUCUUAUAA